Asterias rubens (European starfish) is the source of this 302-nucleotide long non-coding RNA. RefSeq lists it as uncharacterized. Lineage: Eukaryota; Metazoa; Echinodermata; Asteroidea; Forcipulatida; Asteriidae. The record is from RefSeq and is a predicted model, not a curated record. The transcript has 4 exons.
UCGAUGAGUUGGCCACGUUGCUGCUAGUGCUAGACGCACGAACACACACACGUAAGCUAAGUCAUGCCUGAGACCAGCACUAUGGCCAGUUCAAGCCCAAUGAAUCCUAGUGGUGGCAGUGCAUCUAGAUAGGCCUACUCUACCAUGCUGUUUCAACACCUGUGGAUAAGGAGUUCCAUGAACAACAAACCCUUCCCUCUGUUUUAAUUAAAAUCAACCCUGUGGGAACUACCAACAGUAAAGAUGAAUUCUUUGAAGACAGUGACUCGAUUUCCUCUGGACUUCUUAUGAUGAAAGACGUC